UCCCUGGAUUUGCUUGUGUAUUUAGGUA
This 28-nucleotide non-coding RNA is filed under the name Bombyx mori (domestic silkworm). Lineage: Eukaryota; Metazoa; Arthropoda; Insecta; Lepidoptera; Bombycidae. The record is from RNAcentral.